RNAcentral lists this ribosomal RNA (497 nucleotides) under uncultured bacterium. RNAcentral describes it as "partial 16S ribosomal RNA". It matches the Rfam family "Bacterial small subunit ribosomal RNA", at positions 28 to 507 of the family's 1533-position model. The record is from RNAcentral.
GAUGAACGCUGGCGGCGUGCCUAAUACAUGCAAGUCGAGCGAACGGACGAGAAGCUUGCUUCUCUGAUGUUAGCGGCGGACGGGUGAGUAACACGUGGAUAACCUACCUAUAAGACUGGGAUAACUUCGGGAAACCGGAGCUAAUACCGGAUAAUAUUUUGAACCGCAUGGUUCAAAAGUGAAAGACGGUCUUGCUGUCACUUAUAGAUGGAUCCGCGCUGCAUUAGCUAGUUGGUAAGGUAACGGCUUACCAAGGCAACGAUGCAUAGCCGACCUGAGAGGGUACUGGGCAAGAUGGGACAGGAGGCGGGGCCGAUACACCAGAGAGAGACGCAGAACGGGAAUAUACCGAUGAGGUGGAAGGCCGGACAAGGCACCGCCGCGGGAGUUAUGGAGGUCUCAGGUGCGAAAAACUGUUUGAUAAGAGAAAAACAUGUUUGGAAAAAACUGUGCACUGUUUGCAGGUCCCUAAGCAGAAACCCACGCAUAACGACGAC